RNAcentral lists this ribosomal RNA (440 nucleotides) under uncultured bacterium. RNAcentral's name for it is "partial 16S ribosomal RNA". It matches the Rfam family "Bacterial small subunit ribosomal RNA", at positions 338 to 795 of the family's 1533-position model. The record is from RNAcentral.
CCUACGGGCGGCAGCAGUAGGGAAUCUUUCACAAUGGGCGAAAGCCUGAUGGAGCAACGCCGCGUGCAGGAUGAAGGCCUUCGGGUUGUAAACUGCUUUUAUAAGCGAGAAAUAUGAUGGUAACUUAUGAAUAAGGAUCGGCUAACUACGUGCCAGCAGCCGCGGUAAUACGGAGGAUGCGAGCGUUAUCCGGAUUUAUUGGGUUUAAAGGGUGCGUAGGUUGUUUUUUAAGUCAGCGGUGAAAGUUUGUGGCUCAACCAUAAAAUUGCCGUUGAAACUGGAAGACUUGAGUGUGUUUGAGGUAGGCGGAAUGCGUGGUGUAGCGGUGAAAUGCAUAGAUAUCACGCAGAACUCCAAUUGCGAAGGCAGCUUACUAAGCCAUAACUGACACUGAAGCACGAAAGCGUGGGGAUCAAACAGGAUUAGAUACCCCAGUAGUC